Molecule: ribosomal RNA, 253 nt
Filed under: uncultured bacterium
Lineage: Bacteria
Description: partial 16S ribosomal RNA
Rfam family: Bacterial small subunit ribosomal RNA
Source: RNAcentral
UACAGAGGGUGCGAGCGUUACUCGGAAUUACUGGGCGUAAAGCGUGCGUAGACGGUAGCGUAAGUCAGAUGUGAAAGCCCCGGGCUCAACCUGGGAACUGCAUUUGAGACUGCUCUGCUCGGGUGCGGAAGAGGGAAGCGGAAUUUCCGGUGUAGCGGUGAAAUGCGUAGAUAUCGGAAGGAACACCAGUGGCGAAAGCGGCUUCCUGGUCCGACACCGACGUUCAGGCACGAAAGCGUGGGGAGCAAACAGG